Molecule: long non-coding RNA, 969 nt
Organism: Oncorhynchus tshawytscha (Chinook salmon)
Lineage: Eukaryota; Metazoa; Chordata; Actinopteri; Salmoniformes; Salmonidae
Source: Ensembl
UUUUGAUCCUUUAUAUUGGGCAGACAGACCAGUUCCCUACCUCCUCCCACUGCCACCUGCCUCCUCCAUUUUUGAGGCCUACAACCGUGGUGUCGUCAGCCAACUUGAUGAUGGAGUUGGUGUCGUGCAAAGCCACACGGUCCUGGGUCCAGGGAGUACAGCAGAGGACUGAGGACACACCCCUGGGGACCCCUGUGUUAAGAGUCCGUGUGGAGGAGGUGUUGUUGCCAAUCCUCCAUCUCCAUUCAAGAGCCAGUGGGUCCUCUCAUCGCUCAAGAAUGUUCACAGUACCUCUGACUACAAUGAAUAUGACAUGCCACAGUAGACUAAAGGAAAAUCCUCAACCGUGCCCUCAGUUUAAGGCAACGUGCCACCUUUCUGUGCCACCGGGCAGUUUGACUUUGGUAGCGGGGGGCAUCUAAUGGAAAUGAUCUCACUCUUCUGUCACCACCCGAUGUCACAGGAAGGCCAAAGAGAUCAUCAAGGACAACAACCACCCGAGUCACUGCCUGUUCACCCCGCUAUCAUCCAGAAGGCGAGGUCAGUACAGGUGCAUCAAAGCUGGGACCGAUAGACUGAAAAAGUGCUUCUAUCUCAAGGCCAUCAGACUGUCAAAUAGCCAUCACUAGCACAUUAGAGGCUGCUGUUCUACAUACAUAGACUUGAAAUCUCUGGCCACUUUAAUAAUGUUUGCAUAUUUUGCAUUACUCAUCUCAUUAUACUGUAUUAUAUCCUAUUCUACUGUAUCUUAGUCUAUGCCGCUCUGACGUUGCUCGCCCAAAUAUUUAUAUAUUCUUAAUGCCAUUCAUUUACUUUAGAUUUGUGUGUAUUGUUGUGAAAUUGUUAGAUAUUACUUGUUAGAUGUUACUGCACUGCUAGAGCUAGAAACACAAUCAUUUUGCUCACCUGCAAUAACAUCUGCUAAACACGUGUAUGUGACAAAUAGACAUGAGAGAAUUAGUGCUUCUG